Molecule: long non-coding RNA, 229 nt
Filed under: Nicotiana benthamiana
Lineage: Eukaryota; Viridiplantae; Streptophyta; Magnoliopsida; Solanales; Solanaceae
Description: long non-coding RNA (NBEN_LNC033801)
Source: RNAcentral
CCAUAAUACAGAUUAUUUGUCAAGUUGAUAAAACUCUUAAGGUACAUAUCGAUAUUUUAUCAUUGAUUGAAUUGUUUUGAAAUGAAUGUUUCACCUAGAAUGAUUCAACUAAUUGAGUUAAUAGCUGUUGGCAGUGAAUCUGUUUCAGGUUCAUAAUAUUACUAGCAUAAUAGCACCUUUAAUGUGCUAACACAUUAACACCGAGCAGAUUAGAAAGGAUUACAAAAAA